GACGAACGCUGGCGGCGUGCCUAAUACAUGCAAGUCGAACGCACAGUUUAUACCGUAGCUUGCUACACCAUACACUGUGAGUUGCGAACGGGUGAGUAACGCGUAGGUAACCUGCCUGGUAGCGGGGGAUAACUAUUGGAAACGAUAGCUAAUACCGCAUAAUAUUGAUUAUUGCAUGAUAAUUGAUUGAAAGAUGCUAUUGCAUCACUACCAGAUGGACCUGCGUUGUAUUAGCUAGUAGGUGAGGUAACGGCUCACCUAGGCGACGAUACAUAGCCGACCUGAGAGGGUGAUCGGCCACACUGGGACGGAGACACGGCCCAGACUCCUACGGGAGGCAGCAGGAGGGAAUCUUCGGCAAUGGACGAAAGUCUGACCGAGCAACGCCGCGUGAGUGAAGAAGGGUUUCGGAUCGUAAAGCUCUGUUGUAAGAGAAGAACGGGUGUGAGAGUGGAAAGUUCACACUGUGACGGUAUCUUACCAGAAAGAGACGGCUAACUACGUG
This 505-nucleotide ribosomal RNA is filed under the name uncultured bacterium. Its description in RNAcentral is "partial 16S ribosomal RNA". It matches the Rfam family "Bacterial small subunit ribosomal RNA", at positions 28 to 507 of the family's 1533-position model. The record is from RNAcentral.